This 496-nucleotide ribosomal RNA is filed under the name uncultured bacterium. RNAcentral describes it as "partial 16S ribosomal RNA". It matches the Rfam family "Bacterial small subunit ribosomal RNA", at positions 29 to 523 of the family's 1533-position model. The record is from RNAcentral.
AUGAACGCUAGCGGGAGGCCUAACACACGCAAGCCGAGCGGUAGAAAGUAGCUUGCUACUUUUGAGAGCGGCGUACGGGUGCGUAACACGUGUGCAACCUGCCUUUAUCUGGAGAAUAGCCUUUCGAAAGGAAGAUUAAUGCUCCAUAACAUAUUGAAUGGCAUCAUUUAAUAUUGAAAGCUCCGGCGGAUAGAGAUGGGCACGCGCAAGAUUAGUUAGUUGGUGAGGUAACGGCUCACCAAGGCGAUGAUCUUUAGGGGGCCCGAGAGGGUGAUCCCCCACACUGGUACUGAGACACGGACCAGACUCCUACGGGAGGCAGCAGUGAGGAAUAUUGGACAAUGGGAGAAAGCCUGAUCCAGCCAUCCCGCGUGAAGGAUGACGGCCCUAUGGGUUGUAAACUUCUUUUGUAUAGGGAUAAACCUACCCUCGUGAGGGUAGCUGAAGGUACUAUACGAAUAAGCACCGGCUAACUCCGUGCCAGCCGCCGCCGUAA